UUACCGUUUAGCACUCCAUUCAAAACUGCUUGGCCUUUGUAUACAGAGGACACUUAUUGGGGUCUUGAGAAUCUGGUUCAGGAAAUAUCCCUGGGUCUCAUUUCUGGCCUGAAAAGUAGUUGUGAAGGAUCUCUGCUGAUGGGUCCCCUUUCAAGGGGGAAUGGAUGCCACCCACCUAGAGACAGACCCCAAACCCGAGCCAGCAAGUUGACCUGCUUGAGGAUGUAUGAUGGCGUGGAUGCAGUCCCACUGGGGAUCCGAGGUCAUUCUUCCUUUGAAUCCAUCCUUCUGUUAUUUUUAUCUUCCCAAUUUUUCUCUUUCUAGGCUUGCUCUCAGUAGCGGCCAUUCAGAUCUUCUCCAUUUAUUAAGAGAUGAAUUGAAAAGCUGAGUGUGGUGGCAUUUUAAUCUUCGCAUUCGAGAG
Molecule: long non-coding RNA, 421 nt
Filed under: Rattus norvegicus (Norway rat)
Lineage: Eukaryota; Metazoa; Chordata; Mammalia; Rodentia; Muridae
Description: long non-coding RNA NONRATT004380
Source: RNAcentral